CUGGGGAGGUGUUUGCUGGAUAAACAGCUGCCCCCCGGGGCCCAGGCCGCAGUGCUCCUUCGCCACCGUGUCUCCAGCAUCACCCCUUCUCCUCUGAGACCUCUUCCCAGGCCACAACACCAGGGGCCCUGAAGGAGGCCGCUGGCAAGGAAACAUGGACCCGGCUCCAGCCCAGCUACUGGAAGACCUUUCUGGAAUCGGGAGAAGACGCACCUCGGACUUGGGAGCUGAUCCUUCUUUCAAUUCCUGAUUCUGCCACCUCUUGCUAAGGAUUUCAGGCUAGUUACUUAACUUCUCUUAAACCAGCAUUAUCAAUCUGUAUAAUGUGGUAGUGAUACCACAUUGCAGGGUUGAUGGGAGGGUUAAAUUAGACGUUUAAAGUUUUAAA
Molecule: long non-coding RNA, 388 nt
Organism: Homo sapiens (human)
Lineage: Eukaryota; Metazoa; Chordata; Mammalia; Primates; Hominidae
Exons: 2
Source: RefSeq, a predicted model, not a curated record